This 1492-nucleotide unclassified non-coding RNA is filed under the name Octopus sinensis (East Asian common octopus). RNAcentral's name for it is "uncharacterized LOC115217480, transcript variant X2". Lineage: Eukaryota; Metazoa; Mollusca; Cephalopoda; Octopoda; Octopodidae. The record is from RNAcentral.
UGGACACGACUCGGCUGCCACGUACCGACUCCCAGAAGGCAGUGCGUAGAAAGAGGUGUUUACUUCCGGUGAUGGCCAACGACACAUGUCGAGGUCAAACGUCAGAAUCGUUUGCAUCAAAUUCUGAUUUCACCUCAAAUAUUUCCGCUGCACUUGGAGAAUUCUUGAAACACGGUAAAAUCAUUCUUGAAGAUGGCAUUGCAGAAUUUAACAGGAAAGACAGUCUUGAAAAUUUCAUUUCUUCAAAAGUGGGGAAAAUGUUUCAGCUCGCCAAAACAUACAAUACACUGUUUAGAAGCAUUGGCUCUCAAAAUCGAAAGGAACUGGAUUUACAGCUAGGAAAGCAUUUCAGAAAUUCUUCUGUAAAAGAGCUGGCAAAUAAUCUCAUUGAAUUUGAGAUAGAAUGGGAUCAGUUUCUUCACACUGUAGAUACUGCUCUCCAUGGUGAGUCCCAUGGGAAAACUAAAACACUUGAGGUUGGAGAUUAUUUAUCCCAGCAACUAACAGUUGUUGAUGUACUAGAGGGAAAUUCAGUAACUCUGGACAAAUUACUCCCAGUUUUCACUUCUCCUUAUUUACUACUUGUUCUCCAGCGCCAUUUUGCAUGACUACCCUGACGUAAACAUGUAAUGGAGCUAGAAACUUGGAAGUCAGAUUUGAAAGCUUUAGGCUGCGAUGUUCUACUUCUUUUCUUUGGAUCACAGAAGUCUAUAAAGCAGUGGUUGGCAGAAACAAAAUCUUCUUUUCCUUCUUUUCAAGAUUCUUCAAAAAAUAUUUACUCUGCUCUUGGAUUACGUAGAUCUGUCAAGGAAGUGUUUUGUAUGAAGACCACACAAUAUUAUGCUGCUGAAAUGGCUUCUGAUGGGAUUAUCCCAACUCCAUAUAAAGAUUUCAAUGAAGAUAUUUACCAAAUGGGUGGUGAUUUCAUCAUUGACCAAACUGGUAAAAUCUUGUUUACCUAUCGCAGUCAGACUCCAAGUGAUCGACCUUCUGCUGAGCAAAUUUUAGGAACCUUAAAGGAGUUGGUAAUGAAUGUGGCAUACAAGCAACCUUCAGACUCCAUCAGUUUUAUGGUGAGUGAAAUUGAAAAAUUUCGAAAUCAGUCCUGAGACAAUAACAAUGUGGAGAAAACCAACCAACCACUGGAUCUCAUCUACUGUCAGAUGAGGUAGACAUCAGGAUGAGAUGUGGUAUUCACCAGGGUUGGGUUUAAUAUACUUGAAUUUCUUACUGUGUGUUAUAUUUCAAUAAAUUGUAUUCAAGUGUUUCUUGUGUUAUACUUUCCUGCAAUGUCCUUUACUGUUGAAAAGUGUAAUGGCAAUAUUAGAUGUUAUUUUAUGACUGAUUGUAGGUGUUCAAAUGUUUGGUAUAUUUUUGUACUCUUAUUGAACUGUACUCUACCAGUGUUUAUAUUUCCUCAACUAACUUUAUCCAUAUUGUUCCAUGUAUCAUAUGGAUGAAUAAAACUAUGUUCUCGUACAUUUAAAACCUU